CUUGGCGACCAUAGCGUUUUGGAUCCACCUGAACCCAUUCCGAACUCAGAAGUGAAACGAAAUAGCGUCGAUGGUAGUGUGGGGUUUCCCCAUGUGAGAGUAGAACAUCGCCAGGC
This 116-nucleotide ribosomal RNA is filed under the name Vibrio vulnificus. Lineage: Bacteria; Pseudomonadati; Pseudomonadota; Gammaproteobacteria; Vibrionales; Vibrionaceae. The record is from RNAcentral.